UGCCACGUUCCAAGUCCCUAUUCUUCCGGUCACCUCAGGAUGGUAUAAAAACUUCAGUCAUCUAAGACCCUCUUUUGACUGGGCGCGGUGGCUCAAGCCUGUAAUCCCAGCACUUUG
Molecule: long non-coding RNA, 117 nt
Organism: Sapajus apella (tufted capuchin)
Lineage: Eukaryota; Metazoa; Chordata; Mammalia; Primates; Cebidae
Exons: 3
Source: RefSeq, a predicted model, not a curated record